ACGUAGCCCAAGCCCAGUAUCUUAUUUAGUCAUACAUGACCAACUAGCCGUUGAAGAGGUCCGACUAGCCGUUGAAGAGGUCCAACUAGCCGUUGAAAAUAAUUGAUGGAAAAGGAAAAUAAAAUAGAAGUUAGAAUCCUAAUCCCACAUCGGAAAGUAGUGGAAUGGGAGGAGGACUCAAAAAAGUCUAUAAAUAAGACCACAUUGCCCCCUCAUAUUCAGAACAAACAACCACCGAGGGUAGAGCACAUUCAUGGUGAAACCUUUAGCAAGCCGAAGACCACAAUCCCUUGAUAGCAACCCAUCAUCAACUCUUCCAUUGUCGACAAUGUUGCUCCGGUACCGUAAUCUGGUGAAUUCUUCAACCUUUCCCUCAGUUUCAAACUCAGAAAUUUAACCGAUUGUGAUAUACAACCAAUCAUGGGAUACUAUAAUCUGGUAUGUUCUUGAUCCAUGGGGAGAUCGCUCAGGGACUGGGUGGGGGAUUGAGUCAGUUACCAAGCAUGUCACCAUGGUGAAGCGCGCUAAGGGAGCAGUUAGUAAAUUUGAAAACCCUCGAAUCUCUUUUUUUUUUUACCAAUUACGUUAUGUUUGAGUUUGAUUUCCUCAACACAGAGGAGCCAUGGGGAGGUAGAAGAUAAUAGAAGGCGAGGGAAUAAGCGGGUGUGACUUCCAUCUAAUCUACCUAUGCAACACUUGACAAAUAUUCCAGGAAAAGCUGUUGAAAAAGGUUUCUCUGGCACAUCAACCAGCCUUGGUCCUCUUCAGCUUGAAGCACGCAGUGGUUUCCACACAAGCAGAGCAAUGUCGAGCUCCACCAUGGCCGCCUCUUGUUCGGAGAGCAGUUUGGGCUCGCUUGACAUCCAUCCGAUCAGAAUAUCCUCCUCAGGAGCUGAAGAGUCUAAGAGACUCACUGGCUCAAAAGGGACUUCCACUGUCAAGGUCGACUAUUGAUGGAUAUGAAGCUUCAGGCGGAGAGGACAGUGACCGAGUUCCUUUAAUGAAUCUAUUCGUUCAUGCCAGAUUAACAUGAUGAGACAUACCCGAUUAUGAAGGGGUUGCCAGGAUCACAUAGUGAGGAUGGAGCCCUGCAACAUACCCUACUUUGUGGAAGUGUUCCUUGUAAUGAGUUUGAAUAUGCAUUCAAGGUUUAUAGGCUAUCUGCUAAAAUAAAAUAACAAGUAGAACUGCUUUUCUUAGUGGGUUUAACCUAUUUCACUGUGAUGUUUUGUUUUAUAAAGAUGAUAUGUGACUAUUGAAAAUUGUAGACCACAUUACUUGUUUUGACUUUUCUCUGCAGGCUGUUCAACUGUGGAUGGUUGAUAAAGCCGUUCGUCACAGGCGGCUACAUAUUUGUUGGUGAAGUGCAGAUAACCACCAACCUCUGCCUUCUAGCUUCGCCAGGUAUGAGAGCAGAACAGUUGAAACGUAGACUUCCAUUCCAUCCUUGUGUUAUUUCUUUAUAACUGCAGGCAGUCUCACGGGUGCAAGUGAUGAGGAUUUUUUUAAUUCACAUGAGAUCGAGAUGGUUCGUGUUGCUGAUGGUGUGUUGUCGUACUCCAAAAUCAGCCUUCUUCUAUUGCAGCCCAAUUCAUUUGAAGAUGUAGGUGCUUCCCAGUUAAUCCUCCAUGGCAACCACCAGAAAUUUGGCCGUGGAAGUCGUAUCUCGGGGUAACAUUCUUAUAUAGCAAACGCUACACAUGAUCAGAAGAUUAUUGUAAGACUUUUAGCAGUUCUUAACUUCUAAACAAGUGAUCAUGCUUUUAGGUGCGCAUGGUGACGCAUGGGGGAUGUCCUGUGACACCACCCACACCACCCCCUCGGUUUAUUUGCAUUUCCAACUGACAUGUGCCUGCUGAUUUGUUAGAUUUAUCUAAUGAGAAAUUCCUAGCAAAGCUUGCUCGGCUCUAGAUAGCAAUUCCUAGGAAACUUUGCAAUAGUAGACCUAGGAAAACUUGGCAGGAAGAUUACUUGGAAACUUGGCAAUAGAAGACCUAGGAAAACAGCCUGGCUCUAGACCGAGCAAUUCCUAGGAAAACUGCCCGGCUCUAGACCGAGCAAUUCCUAGGAAAACUGCCCGGCUCUAGACCGAGCAGAUUUCUAGGAAAGAACUGCCCGGCUCUAGACCGAGCAAUUCUUAGGAAAACUGCCCGGCUCUAGACCGAGCAAUUCCUAGGAAAACUGCCCGGCUCUAGACCGAGCAGAUUCCUAGGAAAGAACUGCCCGGCUCUAGACCGAGCAAUUCUUAGGAAAACUGCCCCGGCUCUAGACCGAGCAAUUCCUAGGAAAACUGCCCGGCUCUAGACCGAGCAAUUCCUAGGAACAAACUGCCUGGCUCUAGACCGAGCAAUUCCUAGGAAAAAACUGCCUGGCUCUAGACCGAUCAAUUCCUAGGAAAAAACUGCCUGGCUCUAGACUGAGGUAAUUCCUAGGAAAACUGCCCGGCUCUAGACUGUGAGCAAUUCCUAGGAAAACUGCCCGGCUCUACCUUUUCACAGUACCAAUAGUUUGACAAGGUUACCUGACUGAGACACUCAUGAAUAUAAUUGUUGCAUUGAUAUGUGAUCGUUCCCUAGUUAUUUUGUUUUUCUUUGGUAUAAUUGUUGCUUAGUUAUAUUAUUUUUCUGGUAUUUCAUUGAUAUAGUUCAUAUUUUGUCAAAGAUGAUGGGGCUAGUUGCAAUAAUUGGUCAUUGAUUGAGAAACCCGGAAGUUGUCAAUUAUCAAGUCCCGUAAAAUUAUGAUUAGUUCUUCUGAUUUCUAAGCUAUAGUGAAGAAACAUUCCAACCUAAGAUUAUGUUCCGUAUUGCUUAAUCUUUGUGGUUCAUUGGAUUUUGUAAUGUGAUGCACGUGCUUCAGGAAAAGAGAGAAUGAAUGAAUGUUAUGAGUAGCAAUGCAGUCAUAAUGUCAGCUGCUAUGGUUCUGCCUUCUCGCAUCCAAAAUUUUGGUUCUGCUUAUCUUUGCGGUGAUAUCUGAUCUUAGUUUUUGCAACAACAGUUCUCUUCUGGUUCAUUUGUAAUAACAUGGGCGAGAUAAGAUGUUUUGUGUAGUUUUUUUGGGUAAGAAGUCAUUUUCAUUGUGAGAGAAAUGAAAGAAUAUCUAUUUGCAUCUAUUUGCACAGGUUGGUUCCCAGGCUGGUAGUGCAUGCUGCCACUGCUGAACAAUGAAUAAGAGAUUCCGGUAAUGUAAUUUCUUGUGCAUGGUUGUAAACUUUUUACAGAUUUUGCUUCUUGCUCCUAUUUUUUUUCACAAGCAAUCAAAGGAUUUCCAACAACAAGAAUCCUCUUUAGUACGACCGGCUGGUUUAGUCUCGUUUCAAGACCUUUCUUUGUAGUGUGCAUUAUAUCCAAAAUUCAUGUCUCAUCUGAUGACAUGCUUUUAAUUCUUCAAUGUAUUCUUUAUAUAUUCUGACUUAAUUAUUGACCAUUCACGGUCUUAUGUGCCAUAGAUUGUCAUUGGUGUUUUCCAUCUUGGAGAAGGUCAGUAUUUUUACCCUUAUUACUCUGCAGAUUGCAAAACAUGUUAAGAAAAUGAUUAGGAUUCGUUCUAAGAUUUAUCAGUUGAUGGAGGAGUGGACAUUGGCCAAGAGAUGCAGCUGAAAAGAUUUUCGUGGUUUUAUUUGUAAUGUUGAUUUUUCAUGGAGGCUUUGGAUGGUUCGUUACAAACAGGUUUUCUGUGCAAUAUAGUUAGCUUCCGCAUGAAGACCAUUCGAGGAAUGUCAUAUUCUAUGACAUUCCUGAAACAGUUCCUGUGCAGACUUAUUUGCAGCUUCUCCCUGGUAGGUCUCCAUCUACUAGCAUUGCAUUGCAGCUUCUCCCUGUAUGAAUCCUUAACUUUUAAUGUUUUCAGGUACUUUGCAUUACUUGGCAUGAAUCCCUGUAUAAAUCCCAUCUACUAGCAUUGAUUACUUGGCUUCUAGACCGGGAAAACUUCCUAGGAAAAACUACUUACCUGGCUAACGAGAAAACUUCCUAGGAAAACUUACCUUGCUCUCGACGGGUAAAACUUCCUAGGAAAACUUACCUAGCUCUUGCUCUAGACGGGGAAAACUUCCUAGGAAUACUUUAAACCCUAGGAAAACUUUACCUAGAGCUCUUGCUCUAGAGGGGGAAAAGUUCCUAGGAAAACUACCUUGCUUAGAGACGGGGAAAAGUUCCUAGGAAAACUUACCUUGCUAGAGAGGGGAAAAGUUCCUAGGAAAACUUACCUUGCUAGAGAGGGAAAAAGUUCCUAGGAAAACUACCUUGCUUAGAGACGGGGAAAGUUCCUAGGAAAACUUACCUUGCUAGAGACGGAGAAAAGUUCCUAGGAAAACUUACCUUGCUAGAGACGGGGAAAAGUUCCUAGGAAAACUUACCUUGCUCUAGACGGUAAAAAGUUCCUAGGAAAACUUAUCGCUCUAGAUUGGGAAAAAAACUUACCCUUGUAGAUCGGGAAAAAGUUCCUAGGAAAACCUAGCUGGUGAGUCCGGGAAACCUACCUUGCUAUAGAGAUUGGGUCCUAGGAAAACCUACCUUGCUAGAGACCGGGAAAAGUUCCUAGGGAAACUUAGCGCUAGACCGGGAAAAAUUCCUAGGGAAACUUACCGGUCUAGACCGGGAAAAAUUCGAUCUUGACUUGUUUAAAUGGGCAGAAUCGAACUUUCAUAUCACUUUGUGUGACAUCAACUUAAGCUAAUCAGGUAAGUGUUACUAUCGGCAUGCUUAUAUAUUUGAUGUUGACACAUGUUCGUGGUUUAGAGAAAUAAUUUUGUAGAAGUUCGAACUGAAACUGAUGAGGGACAUAGGUUGAUGAUUAUUUAAAUGGGCAGAAUCGAACUUUCAUAUCACUUUGUGACAUCAGCCUAAGCUGCUAAUUAGGUAAGUAGUCUUACUAAUGGCAUAGUUAUAUUUAAUGUUGACACGUGUUCGUGGUUUUGAGAAAUAAUUUUGUAGAAGUUCGAACUUGAAAUUAUUGUUAUGGGCGUAAUAGGUUGAUUAUUUAAAUGGGUGGAAUUGAACUUUCAUACAUCAGCCUAAGCUAAUCAGGUAAGUGGCCUUACUAUCGACAUGGUUAUAUUUAAUGUUGACACAUGUUCGUGGUUUAGAAAAAUAAUUUUGUAGAAGUUUGAAUUUGAAAUAUCUUAAGGGCUCACAUAAUAGGUUUACUUAUUUAAUGGGUGGGCGGAAUCGAACUUUCAUAUCACUUUGUGACAUUAGCCUAAGCUAAUCCUAAUCAGGUAAGUGGCACGUGUUCAUGGUAUGGUUAUAUUUGAUGUUGACACGUGUUCGUGGUUUAGAGAAAUAAUUUUGUAGAAGUUCGAACUUGAAACUGAUGUUAUGACACAUAACACUUAUUUAAAUGGGCGGAAUCAAACUUUCAUAUCACUUUGUGACAUCAGCCUACUAAUUAGGUAAGUGGCCUUAUUAUCGUAGGCAUGGUAUAUUUGAUGUUGACACGUGUUUGUGGUUUAGAGAAAUAAUUUUGUAUAAGUUCGAACUUCAAAUUGAUGUUAUGGCACAAAGCACUUAUUUAAAUGGGCGGAAUUAAACUUUCAUAUCAUUUUGUGACAUCAGCCUAAGCUAAUUAGGCAAGUGGCCUUACUAUCGUUGGUAUGGUUAUAUAUGUUGACACGUGUCCGUGGUUUAGAGAAAUAAUUUUGUAGAAGUUAGGUUGUAUUGAAGUGAUAGGAUAUGGGAGUAUAAAAGAAUACGGUUAGGUUGUGUGUAGAGAGGAAUAAGUUUGUGAGAUUUAUAAAACGAUAGUUAGGAUACGUUUCUGUGAUGAUAUGAUUAAGGUACGUUCAUGUAACGAUAUGACAUGUUAAGGCUAUAAUAAGUUAGGGAAUAUGACCCUAAUGAUAUGACUGUGAUAGAUAUUCGUUAGGCUAUGAUAAGUUGGGAACCAUAUGACCAUGAAGGGUUCACGACAUGAUAUAUAUGUUGUCAUAUGAUAUGAAAUAUGUUAUGGUACGAGAUAUGUGAUAAAUGUGUUUAUUGUGUAUGAUAUAUUUAUAGAACGAUAACGUUAAGAUACGUUCCUGUGAUGAUAUGACUAAGGCACGUUCAUGUAACAUGACUGUGAUAGAUAUUCGUUAAUGCUAUGAUAAGUUAGGGAACGAUAUGACUAUGAAGUGUUCACGACAUGAUAUGAUUAUGAUACGACAUGUGAAU
Long non-coding RNA from Cucurbita moschata (crookneck pumpkin), 6149 nucleotides. RefSeq lists it as uncharacterized. The transcript is spliced from 4 exons. The record is from RefSeq and is a predicted model, not a curated record. Lineage: Eukaryota; Viridiplantae; Streptophyta; Magnoliopsida; Cucurbitales; Cucurbitaceae.